AGGACGAACGCUGGCGGCGUGCUUAACACAUGCAAGUCGAGCGGUAAGGCCCUUUCGGGGGUACACGAGCGGCGAACGGGUGAGUAACACGUGAGCAAUCUGCCCUUCACUUCGGGAUAAGCCUCGGAAACGGGGUCUAAUACCGGAUAUGACCGCGCUACGCAUGUGGUGUGGUGGAAAGUUCUGGCGGUGGGGGAUGAGCUCGCGGCCUAUCAGCUUGUUGGUGGGGUAAUGGCCUACCAAGGCUUCGACGGGUAGCCGGCCUGAGAGGGUGACCGGCCACACUGGGACUGAGACACGGCCCAGACUCCUACGGGAGGCAGCAGUGGGGAAUAUUGGACAAUGGGCGCAAGCCUGAUCCAGCCAUACCGCGUGGGUGAAGAAGGCCUUCGGGUUGUAAAGCCCUUUUGUUGGGAAAGAAAAGCAUUCGGUUAAUACCCGGUGUUCUGACGUACCCAAAGAAUAAGCACCGCUAACUUCGUGCCAGCAGCCGC
This 494-nucleotide ribosomal RNA is filed under the name uncultured soil bacterium. Its description in RNAcentral is "bacterial SSU rRNA". It matches the Rfam family "Bacterial small subunit ribosomal RNA", at positions 26 to 518 of the family's 1533-position model. The record is from RNAcentral.